RNAcentral lists this ribosomal RNA (460 nucleotides) under uncultured bacterium. Its description in RNAcentral is "SSU rRNA". It matches the Rfam family "Bacterial small subunit ribosomal RNA", at positions 26 to 518 of the family's 1533-position model. The record is from RNAcentral.
AGAAUCAACGCUGGCGGCGUGCCUAACACAUGCAAGUCGAACGAGAAAGUGGAGCAAUCCAUUAGUAAAGUGGCGCACGGGUGAGUAACACGUGACUAACCUACCCUUGAGUGGGGGGAUAACCUAGAGAAAUCUGGGCUAAUACCGCAUAAUACCUUCGGGUCAAAGGAGCAAUUCGCUUAAGGAGGGGGUCGCGGCCGAUUAGUUAGUUGGCGGGGGUAAUGGCCCACCAAGACUAUGAUCGGUAUCCGGCCUGAGAGGGCGCACGGACACACUGGAACUGAAACACGGUCCAGACUCCUACGGGAGGCAGCAGUGGGGAAUUUGCGCAAUGGGGGAAACCCUGACGCAGCAACGCCGCGUGGAGGAUGAAGCCCCUUGGGGCGUAAACUCCUUUCGAUCGGGACGAUAAUGACGGUACCGAGAGAAGAACGCCCGGCUAACUUCGCGCAGCAGCCGC